RNAcentral lists this ribosomal RNA (320 nucleotides) under uncultured bacterium. RNAcentral describes it as "bacterial SSU rRNA". It matches the Rfam family "Bacterial small subunit ribosomal RNA", at positions 28 to 349 of the family's 1533-position model. The record is from RNAcentral.
GACGAACGCUGGCGGCGUGCUUAACACAUGCAAGUCGAGCGGUAAGGCCCCUUCGGGGGUACACGAGCGGCGAACGGGUGAGUAACACGUGGGUGACCUGCCCUCAGCUCUGGGAUAAGCCUGGGAAACCGGGUCUAAUACUGGAUAUGACUCCAUGACGCAUGUUGUGGGGUGGAAAGCCUUGUGCGGCUGAGGAUGGGCCCGCGGCCUAUCAGCUUGUUGGUGGGGUGANGGCCUACCAAGGCGACGACGGGUAGCCGGCCUGAGAGGGCGACCGGCCACACUGGGACUGAGACACGGCCCAGACUCCUACGGGAGGC